UACAGAGGGUGCUAGCGUUGUUCGGAAUGACUGGGCGUAAAGGGCGCGUAGGCGGUUUAUCAAGUCAGAUGUGAAAGCCCCGGGCUUAACCUGGGAACGGCAUUUGAUACUGGUUGACUGGAGGGCGAGAGAGGAAAGCGGAAUUCCUAGUGUAGAGGUGAAAUUCGUAGAUAUUAGGAGGAACACCAGAGGCGAAGGCGGCUUUCUGGCUCGCAACUGACGCUGAGGCGCGAAAGCGUGGGGAGCAAACAGG
This 253-nucleotide ribosomal RNA is filed under the name uncultured bacterium. Its description in RNAcentral is "partial 16S ribosomal RNA". It matches the Rfam family "Bacterial small subunit ribosomal RNA", at positions 524 to 776 of the family's 1533-position model. The record is from RNAcentral.